ACUGGAAUUACUAAAUAAUAUGGUAAUUCUAUUAUUAAUUUUUUGAAGAACUGUCAUGAUCUUUUUCAAAAUAGCUGUACCAGUUUAAAUUCCACCAACAGU
Molecule: microRNA precursor, 102 nt
Filed under: Marmota monax (woodchuck)
Lineage: Eukaryota; Metazoa; Chordata; Mammalia; Rodentia; Sciuridae
Source: RNAcentral